Molecule: ribosomal RNA, 1438 nt
Filed under: Protoperidinium sp.
Lineage: Eukaryota; Dinophyceae; Peridiniales; Protoperidiniaceae
Description: partial large subunit ribosomal RNA
Rfam family: Eukaryotic large subunit ribosomal RNA
Source: RNAcentral
ACCCGCUGAAUUUAAGCAUAUAAGUGAGCGGAGGACGAUAGACUGAAUACAUGUCCCGCAGUAAUGGCGAAUGAACCGGAACAGGCACAUUGUGAAAUACAGGGCUUUUGGUUCUGGCUUGCAGAUGCAAGAUGUACUAGCAGCAGGAUGUAGGUGCGAGCCUCUUGGGAAGGAGCAUUGACAUGGGUGAAAACCCCAUGUACCACUUGCAAUUUCCCCAGUGUAUGGUAUACAUUCUCAGAGUCACGCUCUUCGGGCCUGGAGCGCGAAGAUGGUGGUAGGUUUCAUCUAAAGCUUCGCAAUAGCCGGAUGCCGAUAGCGAACAAGUACCAUGUGGGGAAGGUGAAUAAGGACUUUGGGAAGAAAGUUAGAUGUGCUUGAAUUUGCUGGGAGGCAAGCGGGCGUACUUAGUGUGGCUAGGUGAGAGUGUUGUGUGUCAGAGCAGAUGCGCGUCACGUGGUACAAAUGCAGUGGCAUGCCCGAAGCAGGGCGCGUGCAAUGUUCCCUUUUCUUCGCCUGCCAUUAUGUGUACACAUGUAGUGGCAUGGGCGCGGCGCAGUCGUCUGGCUCAGGGAAGCCAGGCGCGUGCCCUUGUAACAACUUGUAUAUACCAUGAUGACAACACUGUUUCACCCGGCCCGCCUUGAAACACGGACCAAGGAGUCUAGCACACGUGCAAGUUCAUGGGUGCCGAAACCUAGGUGCACAAUGAAAGUGAUCGCUUGGAGUUUUACACCAGCAGCCGACCAAGCAAUUGAGCGAGGUUUGGGCUUUGAGCAUGUUUGUUAGGCCCCGAAAGAUGGUGAACUAUGCCUGUGCAGGGCAAACCCAGAGGAAACUCUGAUGGAGGCUCGCAGCGAUACUGACGUGCAAAUCGUUCGUCGCACAUGGGUAUAGGGGCGAAAGACUAAUCGAGCCAUCUAGUAGCUGGUUCCCUCCGAAGUUUCCCUCAGGAUAGCUGGAGCUGAGCAGUUUCACCAAGUAAAGCGAAUGGUUGGAGGAUGCAGGGGCGUGCUGUCCUUAACCUACUCUCAAACUUUAAAUGGGUAAGCGCCUGUGGCUACUUGGGUGAGCUUCUGGGAUAUAUGGCGGCUCUAAGUGGGCCAUUUUUUGGUAAGCAGAACUGGUGAUGAGGGAUGAACCUAACGUUUGGCUAAGGCGCUUAAUUGUUCGCUCAUGAGAUACCAUAAAGGGCGUUGGCUCAUUUUAACAGCAGGACAGUGGUCAUGGAAGUCGAAAUCUGCCAAGGAGUGUGUAACAACUCACCUGCCGAAUGGACUAGCCCCGGAAAUGGAUGGCGCUCAAGCGGGCGGCUGAUACCCAGCCUUUUUUGCAAUAGCGCUGCACCAAUGAGUAGGAGGGUGUGGAGAUGCGUUGAGAAGCUGUCGGCGGAAGCCUGUGUGAAAUCGCCUCUGGUGCAGAUCUUGGUGGUAGUAGC